UUCCCUGCCUUCUGAAGUUUGGGUGGCCAUGGGCUUGGUUUCGGCAAUGAUUGGUGAACAGAAUGCCACGUGUCACUUCUGGACACAAGCAAAGAGUGCUGUUUGUGGCAUUCCGCUUUUCUUCCCUCAGCGAUUAUGAAGCUCAGAGAUGGAACCUCCCUAAAGGUGAACAUUGAGGGUAAAUCACAUAGAUAAGAGCUCCCAAGCCAACCUGUACUGGUCAUGUAGUGAGAGCAAGAAAAUAGAGGAUACAAGAAAACAGAUGUGAAGAAAGGUGGUAACUAUACCAUCAAUGGUAGGAAAAUAUAAACAACUCAGGAACACUAGGCUGACUGGAUGUGCCCAGUUGCCUACACCAGGAACAAAAUGCCCUGCUCUUUGACCGAGAAUUCAUACUCUACAAUAUAGAAAAACUGAGUAUGUGGGAUAUGUGGUCAUCAGAGGCCACACGGACAUUCUUUGAAGAUGUAACAGAUUUUAAGAAGUUCCUCAUUGGUAAGUAAGAAAUGGGUUUUAAAUACCAGCUAGUACAGCUCCAAGAUAUAUGAAGUUAUAACAGCUUUAGGUAAGUAUCAGAACAAAAAUGUAACAGUCAUGAGUAAAUAUUCAUGGUUAUGUGACACAAUAACCCAUUUUGAGGUUACCUGGUAUAGAUUAGUACCAGUAGGAAUUGUUCAAUUACAAAUUAGUUUCACUUCCUGAAAACACACAUCUUUCCAUUACUAGGAACAAAAGUAAAACUAUGUAUUGAAUAAAUCAACACUCACACAAUUAAAAAGCAAACUACUUAACAUAAGUUUUUGUACUACCUGCCCUUAGAA
Manis pentadactyla (Chinese pangolin) is the source of this 821-nucleotide long non-coding RNA. RefSeq lists it as uncharacterized. The transcript has 3 exons. NCBI's taxonomy places the organism in Eukaryota, Metazoa, Chordata, Mammalia, Pholidota, Manidae. The record is from RefSeq and is a predicted model, not a curated record.